AACUUUCGCCAAUCGUACAAAAGCUGACUUGCAACAUUUUGCUUCAUUUUGACCCGAAAAUUUCUCUCCCCUCUGAAACCCUAGGUCUGGCGAUUUUGGAAGCGACCCAAACGUAUCUCCUGCGAUAUUGAAGAAGAAGGUCAGGUAAUAAUAGUGCAAGUCCUUUGAAGCCCUAAAACAUUUGUUUUAGUGUGAUUACAAGUGUUCUUCGGUUCGGAGUUGUUCGAUUUUGUCUUAGAGACUCUCCCUUUUCCAAAUAUUAAAUGGAUGUGCCCAACUGCUCCUUCUCAACCAAUAACAUUAUUUGGUGGUUUUCUCUCAACUGAUUGUAAGUUUUAUUCCUUUGAGAAACUUGCAUUAUUUUCUUUUUGAUUUAUAAUGGUUGUUGCAAUCCUGAGUUAGAAGUCGUACAAUUCGGUACUGUAAUUAAAGUAGUUGGGUUCGAUUUUGAAUUUUACAAAAAGAGGGCAAAAAAAAAAAAAAAAAACAAAAAAAAAAUAUUUAUUAUCUUCCUUUUCAUGAACUUUCACUACAAGAGGGAAAAUUGUGUUAUAAUCCUGAAGUAAAACUUGAUGUGUUACAUAUGUUUGGAACCAAAAUUCUACUGUUUGUCCUGCUAAUAAAUAUUAUAUGAAUUCUUGCAUGAUUUAAUUUAGGGUUUGACGUAAAUGACCUUUCGGAAAGUGCUCAUGCAAAUGUUGCAGGUUUGUUAUCAAUGGAGCCCGCUGACAGUAGAUUCUCUUAAAUUCAGGCUUGUUAUAGAUUCAAAGAAUUUGGUAUAUUUUCUGUAUUUCCUUGAUAAGCGAUGAUAUAACUAAGAGCAAAUAUUACUUAGAAAAUUUGGGACUGAGCUUGAAAAAAAGGUAUGCUUACUUUGAAGGCUCAUUGAAUUUUAAUGAUUGAUUAAUAUAUGCCUGUAACCAGUGGAGUAUACUCAUUCAUUUUGAUUUUUUCAUUUUCAGGUUCACUAUAUAUUGCAGACAAGAAAAGUUGGACUAGUGUUUUUGAGAUGUGUUUUUUUUUUUUUUUUUUUUUUUUUUUGGCAGUUAGAAGAAAAUUGUAAUAUUUGCUACCAUGUUUUAUUUACAUUUUGCCUCUUGUAAUAAAUAAUACAAUUGUUCAAAACAGAUUUAUGUCAACUUUUAAUAUAGGUUAGAUUAUUUGUUCAUUAUACACCGGUUGUAUAUUGUAAUAUUCUUCCAAUGUUAUAUAUUAUACGUUCUAUUUCA
This is a long non-coding RNA of Cornus florida, 1229 nucleotides long. RefSeq lists it as uncharacterized. The transcript is spliced from 2 exons. The record is from RefSeq and is a predicted model, not a curated record. Lineage: Eukaryota; Viridiplantae; Streptophyta; Magnoliopsida; Cornales; Cornaceae.